GCCCAGGUGGCGGAAUUGGUAGACGCGCUAGAUUCAGGUUCUAGUAAACGUAAGUUUGUGGAAGUUCGAGUCUUCUCCUGGGCACCA
Molecule: transfer RNA, 87 nt
Filed under: Alphaproteobacteria bacterium
Lineage: Bacteria; Pseudomonadati; Pseudomonadota; Alphaproteobacteria
Description: tRNA-Leu
Rfam family: tRNA
About the family: Transfer RNA (tRNA) molecules are approximately 80 nucleotides in length. Their secondary structure includes four short double-helical elements and three loops (D, anti-codon, and T loops). Further hydrogen bonds mediate the characteristic L-shaped molecular structure. tRNAs have two regions of fundamental functional importance: the anti-codon, which is responsible for specific mRNA codon recognition, and the 3' end, to which the tRNAs corresponding amino acid is attached (by aminoacyl-tRNA synthetases). tRNAs cope with the degeneracy of the genetic code in two manners: having more than one tRNA (with a specific anti-codon) for a particular amino acid; and 'wobble' base-pairing, i.e. permitting non-standard base-pairing at the 3rd anti-codon position.
Source: RNAcentral